GACGAACGCUGGCGGCGUGCCUAAUACAUGCAAGUAGAACGCACAGUUUAUACCGUAGCUUGCUACACCAUAAACUGUGAGUUGCGAACGGGUGAGUAACGCGUAGGUAACCUGCCUGGUAGCGGGGGAUAACUAUUGGAAACGAUAGCUAAUACCGCAUCAUAUUGAUUAUUGCAUGAUAAUUGAUUGAAAGAUGCUAUUGCAUCACUACCAGAUGGACCUGCGUUGUAUUAGCUAGUAGGUGAGGUAACGGCUCACCUAGGCGACGAUACAUAGCCGACCUGAGAGGGUGAUCGGCCACACUGGGACUGAGACACGGCCCAGACUCCUACGGGAGGCAGCAGUAGGGAAUCUUCGGCAAUGGACGAAAGUCUGACCGAGCAACGCCGCGUGAGUGAAGAAGGUUUUCGGAUCGUAAAGCUCUGUUGUAAGAGAAGAACGGGUGUGAGAGUGGAAAGUUCACACUGUGACGGUAUCUUACCAGAAAGGGACGGCUAACUACGUG
This 505-nucleotide ribosomal RNA is filed under the name uncultured bacterium. Its description in RNAcentral is "partial 16S ribosomal RNA". It matches the Rfam family "Bacterial small subunit ribosomal RNA", at positions 28 to 507 of the family's 1533-position model. The record is from RNAcentral.